RNAcentral lists this ribosomal RNA (165 nucleotides) under uncultured bacterium. Its description in RNAcentral is "partial 16S ribosomal RNA". It matches the Rfam family "Bacterial small subunit ribosomal RNA", at positions 1334 to 1500 of the family's 1533-position model. The record is from RNAcentral.
GCUAGUAAUGGCAGGUCAGCAUACUGCCGUGAAUACGUUCCCGGGCCUUGUACACACCGCCCGUCACACCAUGAGAGUUGGGAAUACCCGAAGUCUGUGAGCUAACGUAAGAGGCAGCAGUCGAAGGUAGAAUCAAUGAUUGGGGUGAAGUCGUAACAAGGUAAC